RNAcentral lists this ribosomal RNA (484 nucleotides) under uncultured bacterium. RNAcentral describes it as "partial 16S ribosomal RNA". It matches the Rfam family "Bacterial small subunit ribosomal RNA", at positions 28 to 523 of the family's 1533-position model. The record is from RNAcentral.
GACGAACGCUGGCGGCGUGCUUAACACUUGCAAGUCGAACGGUGAAAGCGGAGCUUGCUCCGCUGGAUCAGUGGCGAACGGGUGAGUAACACGUGGGCAACCUGCCCCUCACUUCGGGAUAACUCCGGGAAACCGGGGCUAAUACCGGAUAUGACCUCCUUGGGCAUCCUUGGAGGUGGAAAGUUUUUCGGUGGGGGAUGGCCCGCGGCCUAUCAGCUUGUUGGUGAGGUAGUGGCUCACCAAGGCGACGACGGGUAGCCGGCCUGAGAGGGCGACCGGCCACACUGGGACUGAGACACGGCCCAGACUCCUACGGGAGGCAGCAGUGGGGAAUAUUGCGCAAUGGGCGAAAGCCUGACGCAGCAACGCCGCGUGCGGGAUGACGGCCUUCGGGUUGUAAACCGCUUUCAGCAGGGAAGAAGCCGCAAGGUGACGGUACCUGCAGAAGAAGCACCGGCUAACUACGUGCCAGCCGCCGCUGUAA